CUGCCCAGUGACAAAGUUUAACGGCCGCGGAACCCUAACCGUGCAAAGGUAGCAUAAUCACUUGCCUAUUAAUUGUAGGCUAGAAUGAACGGAUGAACGAAAUAAAGACUGUCUCAAUCAGCUCACUAAAAAUUAACACAUGUAUGAAGAGUUACAAAUAAUGUCGAAGGACAAGAAGACCCUGUAGAGCUUUAUUUAUGGUGUUGAAACUUCAACAUAAAAAUUCGGUUGGGGCGACCAGGGAUAAACACAAUAACAACCUAAACGAAAACGAUUAAUGUAUCUAUAAACUGACCCUAAUAAGAGUGCAAAAACAAGCUACCUUAGGGAUAACAGGCUAAUCCUAUUUAAGAGUUCAUAUCUACAGUAGGGGUUGGCACCUCGAUGUUGGCUUAGGGUAUCAGUAUGGCGCAAAAGUUGUAUUAAGAUGGUUUGUUCAACCAGUAACUCCCU
RNAcentral lists this ribosomal RNA (453 nucleotides) under Maoridrilus megacystis. Its description in RNAcentral is "partial 16S ribosomal RNA". It matches the Rfam family "Bacterial large subunit ribosomal RNA", at positions 1859 to 2597 of the family's 2925-position model. The record is from RNAcentral. Lineage: Eukaryota; Metazoa; Annelida; Clitellata; Crassiclitellata; Acanthodrilidae.